UGCGUAGGUGGUUUCUUAAGUCAGAGGUGAAAGGCUACGGCUCAACCGUAGUAAGCCUUUGAAACUGGGAAACUUGAGUGCAGGAGAGGAGAGUGGAAUUCCUAGUGUAGCGGUGAAAUGCGUAGAUAUUAGGAGGAACACCAGUUGCGAAGGCGGCUCUCUGGACUGUAACUGACACUGAGGCACGAAAGCGUGGGGAGCAAAACA
RNAcentral lists this ribosomal RNA (207 nucleotides) under uncultured bacterium. Its description in RNAcentral is "partial 16S ribosomal RNA". It matches the Rfam family "Bacterial small subunit ribosomal RNA", at positions 568 to 775 of the family's 1533-position model. The record is from RNAcentral. RNAcentral also lists the same sequence under 1 other name.